ACCCUAUUAUAAAAAGUUUAAAAAAAAAUAUUAGGGAAGUAUCAGAUAUGUUCUUGAAAUUUAAAAAAUUUGGCGGUAUUUUAAUCUUUUCAGAGGAACCUGUUUUGUAAUCGAUAAUCCACGAUAGGUAAUACUUAAUUUACUAAUUUACAUAUCGUCGUAAUUUGAGUAUCUUAUAAGGGGAAAAAUAUUCAGGAUUUAAAAUUAUAAAAUAAAUCAGAUCAAGGUGUAGUUUAUAAUUAAGAAAUAAUGGGUUACAAUAAAUUUAUUUAUAAUGGUUAUAAUAAUUAAAAUAUUAUAUAAGGUGGAUUUGAAUGUAAUAUAUUUAAUUUUAAAUAUAUGAUUAUAGCUCUAAAAUAUG
Molecule: ribosomal RNA, 361 nt
Filed under: Helictopleurus semivirens
Lineage: Eukaryota; Metazoa; Arthropoda; Insecta; Coleoptera; Scarabaeidae
Description: partial 12S ribosomal RNA
Source: RNAcentral